Molecule: ribosomal RNA, 507 nt
Filed under: Corynebacterium sp. HMSC076C10
Lineage: Bacteria; Bacillati; Actinomycetota; Actinomycetes; Mycobacteriales; Corynebacteriaceae
Description: bacterial SSU rRNA
Rfam family: Bacterial small subunit ribosomal RNA
Source: RNAcentral
GGUGCAUGGUUGUCGUCAGCUCGUGUCGUGAGAUGUUGGGUUAAGUCCCGCAACGAGCGCAACCCUUGUCUUAUGUUGCCAGCACGUUGUGGUGGGGACUCGUAAGAAACUGCCGGGGUUAACUCGGAGGAAGGUGGGGAUGACGUCAAAUCAUCAUGCCCCUUAUGUCCAGGGCUUCACACAUGCUACAAUGGUCGGUACAGUGGGUUGCCAGUCCGUGAGGGCGAGCUAAUCCCGCAAAGCCGGUCUCAGUUCGGAUCGGGGUCUGCAACUCGACCCCGUGAAGUCGGAGUCGCUAGUAAUCGCAGAUCAGCAACGCUGCGGUGAAUACGUUCCCGGGCCUUGUACACACCGCCCGUCACGUCAUGAAAGUCGGUAACACCCGAAGCCAGUGGCCUAACACAUUUUGUGGGGGAGCUGUCGAAGGUGGGAUUGGCGAUUGGGACGAAGUCGUAACAAGGUAGCCGUACCGGAAGGUGCGGCUGGAUCACCUCCUUUCUAAGGAGA